AGGUUCAGAGAUUUUGGAUCUUGAGGGGCUAACUUAUAUUUGUGCUAGGAUUGAGUCUAAGAUUAUGAGAUUGGGUCAAAUCAUAGGUGUACAUGGGCUUGAGUGAGCGCAAUCUUAUAUUGAGUUAGUCAGGAGAGUUUUUUUGGGUUGGAUCACAUUGAUCCUGUAUAUAAAGAUACAUUGUAUUCUGACUCAAAGAAUCGUAGAAAUAUUAAAUAAUUUUCUCCCUAACCUUCUCUCUCUUCCUUCCUCUCUCUCUUUGAUCUUCUCCACAUCCUAGCAGAA
RNAcentral lists this long non-coding RNA (285 nucleotides) under Elaeis guineensis (African oil palm). RNAcentral describes it as "long non-coding RNA (EGUI_LNC033367)". The record is from RNAcentral. Lineage: Eukaryota; Viridiplantae; Streptophyta; Magnoliopsida; Arecales; Arecaceae.